RNAcentral lists this transfer RNA (72 nucleotides) under Oscillospiraceae bacterium. RNAcentral's name for it is "tRNA-Arg". It matches the Rfam family "tRNA". Rfam says of the family: Transfer RNA (tRNA) molecules are approximately 80 nucleotides in length. The record is from RNAcentral. Lineage: Bacteria; Bacillati; Bacillota; Clostridia; Eubacteriales; Oscillospiraceae.
GUUCCCGUAGUCUAAUGGAUAAGAUAGCAGACUCCGACUCUGCUGAUGCGAGUUCGAUUCUCGCCGGGGAUA